GUCAAGUCAAGCUAAUUAUCUCUAUAAAUCUUCUAUUGCCUUCAGCCCCAACACUUCCUUAGCAAUUAAAAGUUUGGUUGUGAACAAUCUUCAGGUAGGGGAGACUACUAAUUUGGGUUUUUACUUGGGGUUGCCUCCAUCUGUCAGUAGGAAUAAGAAAGAGGUUAGGUUUAUUAAAGAAAAGGUGCGGUAUAGGCUAUA
This 201-nucleotide unclassified non-coding RNA is filed under the name Hevea brasiliensis (rubber tree). The record is from RNAcentral. Lineage: Eukaryota; Viridiplantae; Streptophyta; Magnoliopsida; Malpighiales; Euphorbiaceae.